GCCGGGUUACGGUGCCCAACUG
This 22-nucleotide small nuclear RNA is filed under the name Arabidopsis thaliana (thale cress). Its description in RNAcentral is "snRNA_02805". Lineage: Eukaryota; Viridiplantae; Streptophyta; Magnoliopsida; Brassicales; Brassicaceae. The record is from RNAcentral.